This 465-nucleotide ribosomal RNA is filed under the name uncultured bacterium. RNAcentral's name for it is "partial 16S ribosomal RNA". It matches the Rfam family "Bacterial small subunit ribosomal RNA", at positions 28 to 507 of the family's 1533-position model. The record is from RNAcentral.
GACGAACGCUGGCGGCGUGCUUAACACAUGCAAGUCGAACGGAAAGGCCCCUUUGGGGGUACUCGAGUGGCGAACGGGUGAGUAACACGUGAGUAACCUGCCCUUGACUUCGGGAUAACUUCAGGAAACUGGGGCUAAUACCGGAUAGGAAUCCUUGCUGCAUGGUGGGGGUUGGAAAGCUUCGGCGGUUUUGGAUGGACUCGCGGCUUAUCAGCUUGUUGGUGGGGUAGUGGCUUACCAAGGCUUUGACGGGUAGCCGGCCUGAGAGGGCGACCGGCCACAUUGGGACUGAGAGACGGCCCAGACUCCUACGGGAGGCAGCAGUGGGGAAUAUUGCACAAUGGGGGAAAGCCUGAUGCAGCAACGCCGCGUGCGGGAUGACGGCCUUCGGGUUGUAAACCGCUUUCAGCAGGGGCGAAGCUUGUGGUGACGGUACCUGCAGAAGAAGCACCGGCUAACUACGUG